AGAACUUGUAAGUAUCAAAGCAGCAUUACAGUUCUCAGUCAACAAAUUCAGACUGGAAAGCGAUAUAGAAUAAAGCUUUCAGGCUUAGAUACUAUCAGUCAUUCUUCUGUUUUUCACAGAUCAUUCAUGCCAGCCUGGGACCAUAGCCUUACUCCAGUUACCAAGGUAUGGCACACAAAAAGGCUAAUUUCUGCUUCUCGGUCCCAGGUAGAUGACACAUCAAAGCUACCGAAGGCUCUAUGCCUCUGACAUGAAAAUGGGGAUAUCCAAACAGUCUGUCAAAAACUGAUGAACAACUGAAGAUUCCGGGUUGUGCUACUGUUGAGGCAGUAACAGAUACUGCUGCAACAGUCAGAACUGCAGCCACAGUGGCUACCCCUGGACUGGAAAUGCCGAAGUGUUGUUGUAGCAUAGCUUGGAGGUGGUGGCUUCCAUUACUACAGUUGUGCAGAAUACUGUAGGUUUUUGGUAGCAUGUUUUGGGUUUUUUUUUAACUUCAAUUAAAUAAACAAUCCUAAGAAAUCA
RNAcentral lists this long non-coding RNA (525 nucleotides) under Apteryx owenii (little spotted kiwi). Its description in RNAcentral is "lncRNA (ENSAOWG00000007203.1)". The record is from RNAcentral. Lineage: Eukaryota; Metazoa; Chordata; Aves; Apterygiformes; Apterygidae.